CAGCACAUGCUCUGCCCUUUUACUUCUCCAGCAGAGCUACCAGGUCCCUAGGAAGCUGAAGAUCAGCUCUGCAUUUAGCUAUUCCAUUGCCUAGCUGGAUGUGCUGAGAUAAGAACUUCAGGCUGAAUUUAACGGAGCCCAUGUCAAGAGUUCAAUUUGCUACAGCCUAUAUGGCUUAGCAGUAAGAAGGUGUGAGAUUUGCUCCCUUCCCGGAGGAAUGUCCGUGUUACCAUUCCUUUCUGCAGUGGCAGAGCAGGAAGUACUUUUGUCAGCAUGGCAUUAUUGCAGCUUCCCAUUCUACCAAACUCUGAGGCCAUAGGCCUCUGCCAGGAAUCAGGCAAAGAAUACAAGUAGCCCUCAGUACAGGAACAUUUUAGGGGAGAAGACUUUGCUAUUCUGUGAAUAAUUAUCUUCACAUGGGCAGCAUCUUUGAAUGGAUCUGGGGUGACUGUAGUGUGAAAUGGGCAUUUGACUUGCUUUCAUCUGGGAUCAGGACACGCAGAGGAGCACUGGAGAGAGAUUUUUCCUGCACAUCAGGAAACAUUAUUUUCACUGUAUUUGGUGUGAUUUUCGGUACUCAGCUAUUCAGCUGUAUCUAGGUGGUUAGAGACUCAUCACUUAUCUUUGGCUCUGAGCUGCCUAUCAUUCUGUUCCCUCAUAUGUCUUAGCUUAUGGUAUCAUUCUGAACAUUUUGAUUAGGAAAUUUCCCUGACUUGGAGCUGUUUCUGGUGGCAGGAUUUUUGUGUGUGUCUCCUGAUAGUAUCUAAACCUCUUCUGUUCAGGACUCUUUGGGGCACUUGUCUUUCAAAUGGCAAUUACUAUGUCUUGUCUGAUUCAGAGAUCUCUCAAAACCCUGAUCUGACAUUAGAUCCUAAGAAACUGCUUGUUCCCUGAUACCUGAGCAUAUUCUUUCAUGAAUGCCUUAGUUUUCUUUUUCUUCCUGCCAGGGAAGAAAACCUGAGAAGACCACAUGCAUGUCCAUGUAGAGCACUGUGGACAUCAUUGAUCACCCUGUAGAUGGGUCAAGGCCUCCUCACCAUGUGAAGUCCAUGCGCUGCUUUACUUUCCAAAUCUGGAUCCAGAGAUGCCAAACCAAACCAUUCACUGCACACCUUGCCUUGCUGUAAUUUACAUUUGGCAUCAGGAUGCAGAUGUACCAACUCUUCCCAACUUUUGAAAUGAAUGAUGAUGAUGGACUUCAUACAAAAAAGCAUCUAUCUUUUAAACUCCCACAGCUCCCCUGAGCCUACAGAACUGUUAAAAGUAAAUUUAAGGCCUUUAUCUUACCAUCAAUUCACGAAGACUGGCAGCGGUGUUUACGUGGAGUCCACAAUGUGCCACCAGGUAUGUGUUAUUGGUGUUAAAAUCUGAACUACUUUCUCACCAGUCCAAUUUGCUGUACUGUCCAGGCUUUAUGGUAAUCCAGAUCAAUUCUGUACAAUGAGGGGAGAUCAAAGUUAUUGGUUUUUUUUUUCUUUUUCUUUUUUUUUUUUUCUAUUAGCUUUGAGGAAUAAAUGUUUAGUGGGCAAGGAAGCUAUGAAAUUUUGCUUUAUGAAAAUGAGUUUUCUCUGUCUUGUCUUCUUUCUUAGAAUUUCACAGGUAUUAAGCAUGAGACUCAAUUUGUAUUCUAGAUCCAUAACAAAAUUCAGCUGAAUGAAUGAGUACUAAACAAACUGAGAUUGACCAUUUCUUAAAAAAACACAGAGUGAGAUGCCCACAGAUGAACCAAAGCUGUUUCAGACAUAUUUUGUAAUAUCCUGGCGAUUACAAGAGCAGGCAUAAGUAAGGGAGAGGAUUGUCUGGGAAUGGUGGAACUUCAUUUUAGUGGUAGAGCUUUUUCCAACCACCCCAAGCAUUUCCCAGCCUCAUGAAAGGCUUUCAGAAGGUUAUUCCAUUUCGUGUGCGUAUUGUUUCAUGUCCUGGUUGUUUCUAUAGGGAUAAUACAGGGACCUUCCAAUGAGAAGUGACACAUUAGCAAGGGUUGAGAGGGAUGAAGAAGGUUCACACUAACGAUCUCUAACAAUCAACAGCAUUAAGAGCUGGAAUAAACAUUCAGGCUGUACUGCACCUUGAUCCUUGAUAUGGGCUGCUCACCCCUCAUGCAAGUGACAACCAUUCAGGAAGCACAGAGGGAGAGACUAUUCUUCUUUAACAGACUUCCCUAGCCAUAGAUCUUAGUCACAGAAAGGAAUUCCAGGAAGAUGUAGGGCAUUCUGGGGAAAAGAUAAGAAAAAAAUGAAAGGGAGAAGGAAAGAAAAAUGAAAGAAGGCUAUGGCACUGAGACAAUCUGUGCAGGAAACCUGCAGAAAACUACCACAGCUAGCACUGGGACUUCAUGCUAAUGUAAAUAUCAAUUUGCAUGCUUGAAUUUGAAAACUUACAGCUGCUUUGUUCAGCAGAGUUUGUACAGUCACACUCUCUCUGUGUGUGCGUCUUGUACUUCUGAGUGUAUUAGCUAGUAGCUAAAUCAGAUGAAGGGGUCCAGGACAGUAAGACUUGGGAUAAUUCAAUUCCCAUGAGGAUUUUGGAACAUAACCGCUACAGAUUGUGCCAAAGUGAAAACUAAGCACUCUGAGAAAUUCUAUUUGUUCCCUGGUUGUACAUCACUUACAGGAUAUUCUCAAAAGAAAUGAGGAGACCACAGGAAAUGCUUUUAAGCUGAUAUGCCGGAGGCUUAGAGCCGCAAUAGUUUUCUGAUAUGGGCUAAAGUCGCUUCAGAGUGCUUCGAUGGUGUAGAAGUGCUACUUCUGAGAUGACUUAAUCCAAACUUUUCUACAUUGCCUACAUUCUGCCUGGUAAAAGGUAUCAUAAAGACAGAACAAAGCAAGAGAACAGCCUCCACUGGAGAUACGUACGUAACAUCAGGGAUGAAGCACAGGUAGAACAAAACCCACUGUGCAGCAUUAAAAUUAAAUGGACCACAGCCUUAAUGGAGUGAGUCAUAUCCACAGUCCCUAAACUGCAGCCAGGGAGAUGGGUUGGUCAGUGAGCAGCUACGGUCUUUCUGCACUCAUUAUUAUUUGAGCUCAGUCAUAGCUGAAGAUCGUUGCUGUCUGCACUGUGCAAACCUGAGAAAAAACAGAUUCCACCUCAUGGAGGUAAGUACAUCCUGCUGUUUGCUUAGGUUUUUUGGUGUUUUUUUUUUAAUUGCACCUGUCACUGUUUCCUCAUCUUUUAGUCUGUUGCCUCCAGGGAGAAAAGGAAAAUAUUAAAUAUCUCAUCAUAGGCAAGAGAGAAUAAUUCAGAGAUAUUUUCACCUCAGUACAAGACAUCAGGGUUGGUUCUUUCUUGGUAAAUAGCAUCAGAUCCCUCAGGGUAUGGGGAAAGAUGCAAGGAAAUCUCAACUGUUGAUUGAAAAUCGAGCUGAGAGCCCUUCUCUGGCAUGGAUUGAUUUCAGAGGAUCCAAGGGGUUAGUAGGAACCGAGGAGUGAGGUUUGGGGAGCUCAUCCAAUCUCCAUGUGGACAGAGAGAAGGAAUAAGGGGAGCCCUGGGGCUGAGCUUUCCACUGAGUCUCCCAGAACCUGUGAAAAUCUGAUCUCCAGAAAUGGACAAACCAACCAGGUGCUAGAAUGGCAGCAAAGCUGCAACAAUGGCUGCAUGCUGAAGUUUUCUCAUAGUGAGUGAUGCCUUUAUUUUGCUAUAGAAAGUGUUUUAGGAAGGCUGUGAAGUGGAGCUGAGAGCUGGCUUGGCCCUCUAACAGAUCUGCAGACUCAGACUAUUCAGGGGACACAAGGGUACUAAUCAGCAGAAAGCCCUGAGGUAGCAAAAUUUGCUUGUUUAUCCUACUUCAUGAUACAAGAAUUCCUAACUGACAAAAGCUUUGGAGGAGACUAAUUUAUUCGUUUGGACCUUUCAUAUAGUUAGCUCAACUGCUGUCUGCUAGAACCUGGAAUGCUGUUAUUGAAAAUGUUGAGGUAUUUCUUAUGUUCUUCAUUACAUGAAACCACAAGUGAUGACAAAUCCAACAAUCAACCAGUCUUUUAUCAUUAUGCAGCAUUAUGAAAAUCUCCUCUCCAUUUGGAUAGGCCAAUAGUGCCAUUGAUUGUACUGAUCUAUUACAGUUGGCGCCAGACUUAUGAUUCUUUAAACCGCAGGAAGAUUAUCUUGGUUUCCUUUCAGCUGCAUAAUUUGUUUCUUCCCACUCACUGCAAGAACACAUUUGGGACUACCUGGCUUUCUACCUUCGAAUAUCACAUCAGGUUUGCUUUCUUGUAGGAACUCAAGAGAUUUUAGUUUUCUGUGAAGGCCAGUGGCAGGAUUCAAAUCAGUUUAGAUCCCAAGAUGAAGCAUAAAAACCUCAAAAAACAUAAUGUAAAAGGAGGAGUCUACUGUAAUGAACAUGGCUCUAGAUCUAAGGAAGAUUAAACCGUGCCUCUCAGUGUGCUGGUGGACCACACCUCUCUAACAUGGUAGUAAGAACAGGUUGCUUAUACCUGUUGUUUUAGUGACAAAGACAGAGAAAUAUGAAAGCAUCUAAGUUGCUUGGAGCUGUAGUGCAGAGAGGUCAAAAUCACUGAUGACAUCUAUUCCCUUUGUAUUUAAUACCAUGUAAGGGCAGGAAGUGUUAAAGUCUGAGUUAAAAAGUGACAGUAAUAGCCAAUCGGAGAGACAACCUGAGAGGGGAUCAGGUCUGACCUGAUUUAAAUAGAUAAACUGUGGAAUAUUUUAGGGUCUGUUCUGGUUUUGCAAAAAUAAGCAUCAGCUCAACAAAACAAAAGAAAAAAUGCACAACCCCAAACCUUUACAAAAACGAUGAGAAGGCUUUAGUUUGAAACCCUUGUGUAGCUUUUCUGUGUGUGUUGGAACAUGGACCUAAUGUGCAUUGGGGCAUUUAAGUCUUUGCCACCAAGCUGAUCCAUCCAGAUCUUGCAGUGGCCUGCACUAGCCACCCAACCAGCAAGGGAAGAUCAUUAUGGCAUGAACGGGCUGCAGGCAAACAGCAUAACAGAGAGGAAAAACAAGCUAAUGUACACCCUAAGGCUUUGAGAACUCCUAAUAGUUGGUGUGUUUUCACAUUUAUCACAUGGGAAAAUUAUAGAGGUUCCUCGGGAGGUAUUUUCACACCAUCACGAUGUUGUCCUGGUCUGGUGUCAUGCUCUAGGGGCUACGUCUGGUUGUGAAUUGAGGUGUGCCUCAUGAUUUUGGACGUCUGCAGGCUUCCAGGGAUUUGGACACACCCUUCACCUGGAGACAUCUGCUUGGAGCAGGUGGUGGAGACAGAACUGGGCUUUCUGCUGUUUGCUGCUGCUCUACUGUCCAGACUGCCUCAGAGCAUCAGAAUGUGAUGCUUCCCCAUGGUAAUAUUAUCCAGUAUUAAGAACCUAGUAAUAUUAUCCAAUAUUAAGAACCUGGGAGACUUCAUUUAAUGAUGUCAUCUCACAUAUUCUGGCAGAAUAUUAUAUGAGUAAAAUAAUCAAAGCGUAUUUUGUGGCACACCGAUAUAAAAUGCAAUGACAGAUCUAUAGCAAUAUGAUGGCUAAUUAAGGGUGAAACUUUCAAGAAACCAGCAAUGGCUAGAACCAUCUUCCAGUGGUAACAUGACUGUUUCCUUAGGGCCUUCCGUUGUCCAGUGAACUUGAUCUCUUUUAGGGUUGUUUAUGUAUUUAGGUCUUUGAAAAACUUCUGGCAACUUUCUUUUCUGUUGUGGUUAAGCAGAUGCAUUAAGUGCCAGAGGGCAAUAAAAUUAAAGAAGUCAAUAGCAAAGAAAGGCAACCAUUAAUCUUAUUUGGCAUCUACAAAGCAUCUAAAACUGAAAUGGACUUUACACAGACAUAAAAUGCAGUUUGUGUGACAAAGCUCUUUGCAGAUUGCACGUGGACCUAGUGUCUUUUCCUGCUUGGAAUACCAAGAAUCUGGAUUUCACUUGAUAACCUGGUGCAAUGUACUAGAUUGCAACUGUGUAACUCUGGAAAGCACUUACAAAAUAGCCUAUUCUGAGGAUUUCAGAACUCUGUUUAAAAUUAAGCACCUUGUAAAACUGUUAGAAAUUGGAAGUUCUGUUUUUCUGGCUGCUGGGUGCUGAAAACUUCUGAAUAUCUGGCAGUGGCAAAAAGUGAAUAAGGCAAUUUUCUUGAAUUGGUGCCUGAAUCUACUAAGUUUGUGAGCACUCCCAGGAAACACGUCCAAGGAUUUAUCUGAGAAUCAGCACAUCACAAGAUCCUCUGGGAGCCUUCCUUCAGUCCUUCAUAGAUUGUAUGGCUCCAGCCAGCUGGAUGUAAGUCAUUAAAGCUCCUUAUUCUACCCAUUAGUAGAUUCAUUAAUAUUUCUCUGCAACUUGGGACACAACAUUUCUCAUGCCAAGCUUAGGAAAGUUUUCUCUUCAUCUAAUUUUGACUUAGAAACAGUUAUAAGGACCAAAAGCUCACCACUGAGAGGAGGAAAAACUUUUUGUAAAAUUUAAGUCUGCAGAGUCUGUCAUUCGUGGUAGAAGAAUUUCACUUCAGAGAUUAAAGUCUUCCACAGAAAUGUUGACUGUAGGGGUAUUUAACUCUUGUCAUUGGGCCCAGUAUUCCUCUCUGAAGCUUAUUAACCUAUUAGAAGCAAGGCAACGAGCUUUUCACGGCAGGCCUCCUGAAGAAAAAAAUACAAAGCACAUCUCCUAGGAGCUGAGAAACUGGAUAAACAUGGUGCUAAAUUGUCCCUAUGCUCCAGAGAUGGGUACAACUAGAAGGCUGCCAACUUAAGCACAAAUAAUCAUUUUUGGGUUGAAAAACACAAUCAGUAUAUUCUUUCAUAUACACUUAGAUAUAC
Molecule: long non-coding RNA, 6750 nt
Organism: Gallus gallus (chicken)
Lineage: Eukaryota; Metazoa; Chordata; Aves; Galliformes; Phasianidae
Exons: 3
Source: RefSeq, a predicted model, not a curated record